CUAUAAAGAAGUUCUAAGCUUGAGGCUGUCAGUAGGAGUGAAAAGAAGGUGCUCUGACUUCUGGCCUUGCUACUGACGGAUGCUGCAGCUCACACCCAGCUCCGGCCAUCCUCCGUGGAACUCAGGUCACCUCUGGGAGUGAGAACUGUGGUCUCCGAGUCCUCUCUGCCCGCAUCUUCUGCCCCUGUUUUCUGCCCCUGGACAGCACCCCCUGGAAUCUGGCCAGACUCCUCUCCCGGGUUUUAUCUGAUUCUGCCUUCCCCCUUUGGAUGGAGACGAAGGUGUUCCCACAUGUUCCUCUGCUGCAGUGCCCAGUGCCAGCCUAAGCACCCAGGAACCGUCUUGGCCACAUCCGUCCAUGAAUGACUGCAGGCGGGAAGAGAGUAACACACCCUCUUUGAAGGCCGACAGGAACCAAGAAAGAUUUGAUUUCAUUGCCUGUGGGUUAAAGGAAGCUGAGUUCCAACUCAGGACACAAGUCCACCAUCUCCGUGGGGCGCUGGCUUUCCUGCUAAAGACGCCCUUCCUUGCCCUGACAGCCUGUCUCUCAACUUAUCGCCUGUCCUGCCAAGA
Cervus elaphus (red deer) is the source of this 573-nucleotide long non-coding RNA. RefSeq lists it as uncharacterized. The record is from RefSeq and is a predicted model, not a curated record. NCBI's taxonomy places the organism in Eukaryota, Metazoa, Chordata, Mammalia, Artiodactyla, Cervidae. The transcript is spliced from 5 exons.